This is a non-coding RNA of Pteropus alecto (black flying fox), 119 nucleotides long. NCBI's taxonomy places the organism in Eukaryota, Metazoa, Chordata, Mammalia, Chiroptera, Pteropodidae. The record is from Rfam.
GUCUAUGGCCACGCCACCCUGAACGUGCCCGAUCUUGUCUGAUCUCAAAAGCUAAGCAGGGUUAGGCCUGGUUAGUACUUAGAUGGGAGACCACCUUGGAAUAUCAGGUGCUGUAGGCA